GCACAGUUAGUUCAGUUGGUAGAGCAUGGGACCCUUGAUCUCAGGGUUGUGGGUUCAAGCCUGCAGUGAGCA
RNAcentral lists this transfer RNA (72 nucleotides) under Dryobates pubescens (Downy woodpecker). RNAcentral's name for it is "Picoides pubescens (downy woodpecker) tRNA". It matches the Rfam family "tRNA". From Rfam's summary of the family: Transfer RNA (tRNA) molecules are approximately 80 nucleotides in length. Their secondary structure includes four short double-helical elements and three loops (D, anti-codon, and T loops). Further hydrogen bonds mediate the characteristic L-shaped molecular structure. tRNAs have two regions of fundamental functional importance: the anti-codon, which is responsible for specific mRNA codon recognition, and the 3' end, to which the tRNAs corresponding amino acid is attached (by aminoacyl-tRNA synthetases). tRNAs cope with the degeneracy of the genetic code in two manners: having more than one tRNA (with a specific anti-codon) for a particular amino acid; and 'wobble' base-pairing, i.e. permitting non-standard base-pairing at the 3rd anti-codon position. The record is from Rfam by way of RNAcentral. Lineage: Eukaryota; Metazoa; Chordata; Aves; Piciformes; Picidae.